RNAcentral lists this ribosomal RNA (473 nucleotides) under uncultured Pelotomaculum sp. Its description in RNAcentral is "bacterial SSU rRNA". It matches the Rfam family "Bacterial small subunit ribosomal RNA", at positions 913 to 1382 of the family's 1533-position model. Lineage: Bacteria; Bacillati; Bacillota; Clostridia; Eubacteriales; Desulfotomaculaceae. The record is from RNAcentral.
ACGGGGGCCCGCACAAGCGGUGGAGCAUGUUGGUUUAAUUCGUACGCAACGCGAAGAACCUUACCAGGGCUUGACAUCCCCUGACCGCGUAUGAAAGUACGAAUUCACCUUCGGGUGACAGGGAGACAGGUGGUGCAUGGUUGUCGUCAGCUCGUGUCGUGAGAUGUUGGGUUAAGUCCCGCAACGAGCGCAACCCCUACGUUUAGUUGCUAACGCGUGAAGGCGAGUACUCUAGACGAACUGCCGUUGACAAACGGAGGAAGGUGGGGAUGACGUCAAAUCAUCAUGCCCCUUAUGUUCUGGGCUACACACGUGCUACAAUGGCCGGUACAGACGGACGCAAAGCCGCGAGGUGGAGCAAAUCCUAAAAAGCCGGUCUCAGUUCGGAUUGCAGGCUGCAAUUCGCCUGCAUGAAGUCGGAAUCGCUAGUAAUCGCAGGUCAGCAUACUGCGGUGAAUACGCUCCCGGGCCUU